Molecule: ribosomal RNA, 521 nt
Filed under: uncultured bacterium
Lineage: Bacteria
Description: bacterial SSU rRNA
Rfam family: Bacterial small subunit ribosomal RNA
Source: RNAcentral
CACGUAGGGGGCGAGCGUUGUUCGGAAUCAUUGGGCGUAAAGGGCGUGCAGGCGGCCGCCAAAGUCCGGCGUGAAAGACCCAGGCUCAACCUGGGGGGUGCGCCGGAUACUGGGCGGCUUGAGUACAGGAGGGGACGGCGGAAUUCCAGGUGUAGGGGUGAAAUCUGUAGAUAUCUGGAGGAACACCGAUGGCGAAGGCAGCCGUCUGGCCAUGUACUGACGCUGAGGCGCGAAGGUGCGGGGAGCAAACAGGUUUAGAUACCCUGGUAGUCCGCACAGUAAACGAUGUGCACCAGGCGGCGGGGGCAACCUCGCUGCCGCAGUUAACGCAUUAAGUGCACCGCCUGGGGAGUAUGCCCGCAAGGGUGAAACUCAAAGGAAUUGACGGGGGCCCGCACAAGCGGUGGAGCAUGUGGUUUAAUUCGAUGAUACGCGAGAAACCUUACCAGGGCUUGACAUGCGCCGGGAGCGCGCCGAAAGGCGUGCGCCCCUCGGGGCCGGCGCACAGGUGCUGCAUGGCU